UAGUCCACGCCGUAAACGAUGGUCACUAGCUGUUGGAUUUUCGGAUUCAGUGGCUAAGCGAAAGUGAUAAGUGACCCACCUGGGGAGUACGUUCGCAAGAAUGAAACUCAAAGGAAUUGACGGGGGCCCGCACAAGCGGUGGAGCAUGUGGUUUAAUUCGAUGAUACGCGAGGAACCUUACCAGGGCUUAAAUGUAAGUUGCAUUAUUUAGAGAUAGAUAUUUCUUCGGACUACUUACAAGGUGCUGCAUGGUUGUCGUCAGCUCGUGCCGUGAGGUGUCAGGUUAAGUCCUAUAACGAGCGCAACCCCUGUUGUUAGUUGCCAGCAUGUAAAGAUGGGAACUCUAGCAAGACUGCCGGUGCAAACCGUGAGGAAGGUGGGGAUGACGUCAAAUCAUCACGGCCCUUACGUCCUGGGCUACACACGUGCUACAAUGGUAGGUACAAUGAGCAGCCACUACGCGAGUAGGCGCUAAUCUUCAAAACCUAUCUCAGUUCGGAUUGG
This 504-nucleotide ribosomal RNA is filed under the name uncultured bacterium. Its description in RNAcentral is "bacterial SSU rRNA". It matches the Rfam family "Bacterial small subunit ribosomal RNA", at positions 791 to 1301 of the family's 1533-position model. The record is from RNAcentral.